CGGCUGCCCGUAUUUCGGUGCCUCCUCGAUUGCGCACAGCAAGUCUUUUUCUGUCCCUUGCUCUCGUUGUCGGUGUCCUCUGCGAAGCACCGGCUGCCUACACCAGUUGUCGUCUUCUAUUUUCCUUCCUCACUCCCCCUCCUCGUGUGAGUGCGGGAGUGUGUGUGUGUGUGUGUGCCUCCUGCCCGAUCGGGACUGCUGCGACUGUCUCGGUUCUCUCUCUGUCACCGAGUGCGCGUUUGCGCGCGCAGGCUUCUGUUGGCACGUGUGUUGCUGUGGUUGCCCUCCUCAGACCUUGGGAUGAUGUGUUGCUCCCUCAUUACUUCCCGUCUCUCUCCAAUCUUUCGUCUUUCACUGAUUUUUGCGUUUUGCAUAUCGUGACGUGCCGUGUGAGAGUCCCGUGCUCUUUUUGCUUCCAAACGUUCUCCUGCUACACCCGCUCCCCUUCCUCACCCUCCUGUACCACCACCGCACAACGGCAUUGCCGCAACACCUCUUCUCAGUCGCGCCUUCUUUCCAUAUAUCUGCACCGCAGACGUACAACAAACUCGCUGGCAUUAGCCCCCCUCCUUUGUGUGUGUUUGCUUCUUCUCUCUCUUCGUCGUUUAUUAAAUCUUCUUGGCGCUGGUGAUGGUGAGGGCUGACUCGUUGACUCCCCAAAAAAAAUUUUUUGUUUCGGCCGCUGUUGCGCUUGUUUUCUCCUCUGCUGUUCCCGUGCUUUGAAGCAGACAGCAGAGGCGGGGUCUUUCCGUCUAUUCUACGCUAUCGUGUCGCGGUGAAUCGAUAAGGGCGACGUCUGAUGACGAGCCAGUGGGUACAACUCGUCAAGAAGCAGCACCGUACGUACAUACAUUCGAAAAAAGAAAUCAAUCUAUCCCAGCAGCAGAGACGGGCUCGGGGGGGCGCCGCGUUCCCUCCCUAGGCCCUUACCGCACCCUCUCUCUCUUUCUCAGCCGUCCUCUCUCUCUCGCCAUCUGUAAACAUCUGGCUAGCUUCUUAUUCUCUACUUUCCUUUCGCGAGUGUGCGCAUGUGCCUGUGUGCGUGCAACGCCCUUUUGAUCGCCUGUCGUAUUUGCUCACGUCGCACAUUGUGCGCAGCCAGUGGUGACUUCUACUGGCGACUUAGGUCGGACGGGCCACACACAGGAGGGACAAUGCGCAGAGACGGUGGAGCGUUUUCGCGGACAUCGUCACCGCGGUCUGGCACCUCGCCCAUCAGCCCUGCCGACGACGAGGAUGAGUACAUGGGAAGUAGCACGUCCACCGCUGGGCCGCCACCCGAGUCCAACACCAUGACCGGUCGCUUCACUCGACCGCAGUGGUCGCUGGCAACUGGGCGACACUAUGCAAGCAGCGGGCACUCAGCCGCCAGCUCGUGCAGCACUCACACGCUGAAGGUGAACCAAACGGAGAGCUACCGGCCGGGUCCCGAUGACAGCGGCACAUACAGCGCGAACCUGCGUGACUCGCCUAGCCGCACGAUGAGCAACACCAGCGUUUCGGUCUCCCCCAUGGACAGCAGCAGCCCGCAGGAAUGGGGCCGUUCCUUCCGCCUUUUCAACUCCUGCCGCUUCCUCACCAGCGCCUCAGGUUCACGGCAGCGUGACGGCAGCAUUGGACAGCUGUAUCGCAGCACUUUUCUGCAUGGCCGUCAGGGCCGCGGCAGCAGCGUUGGGCCGGAGGCCGAAAGGCCACUCCUCGGCAGCUCCAUGAUCCACCAACCACAGAGCAGCUUCUUUGGCGCCUUUAGCGGGCAAGGUGGACGCUACUCCUUCUGGCCCCCUGAUGUGAACGCCAGCGGAGUGCUGACGGCCGCCUCGCCGUACGCCGCGUCCAACCCGUCCGCGCCUUUGUCAACAGCGAGCCCCCUAUUAGGCUCUUCUCGCUUCCUCGGGACGGGGAUCUCGCCUCGCGGGCUGGCGGACGGGCACGCUGUGCAUCGUGUCGUCGCGUCGUGCGCAAUGGGCUCGGUGGUGUGUACUGUCUCACCAGGUCAGAACGAACUGCCUUUGGCGAUGAAUGCCUUACGCACGCACCUUGCGCUGCGCGGCAAGACGAUCAUUCAAGGCGAUGCCGCGCACCCGCUGGAGAUUCGCAAGGGCCCCCUUAUCGGCGCCGGCGGCUUCGCGAAGGUCUUCGCGGGUGUGGACACGGUACGUGGAGAGCUUGUCGCCAUCAAAGAAAUCGACAUCUCCGGCGUAGACGACGUGAAGGCGCUCAACGCGAUCGAGGCGGAAUUCGCCCUCCUCAAGUCGCUUCAUCACCCCAACAUUGUCAGCUACUCCCUCUUCGAGCACAGCAAGUCGCAGAAAGUCUGCCGCAUUGCGAUGGAGCUGCUGGCUGGUGACUCCACUCUCCACCUGCUGCAGAAGUUUGGGCCACUGACGGAAGCGGUGCUGCGCAUCGUGGCGCGGAGCGUCCUGCGCGCCAUUCGCUUUAUCCACAAGGAGGGCAUUUUUCACCGAGACAUCAAACCAGCGAACAUCCUCGUCAGCCACCGCGGCGAGGUGAAGUUGUGCGACUUCGGCUGCAGCAAACGCGUGUCGGAGCUGAACAAAGCAGCCAGCUGCAUCAUUGGGACACCAGUGUACAUGGCCCCUGAGUUCAUCAAGGGUGAGGCUAAUCACAAGGCGGAUAUAUGGUCGAUGGCGUGCGCGCUUUUUGAGCUGAGCACCGGGCUGCUGCCUUGGUACCACUCCGGCGUCAAGGACAAUCUCCCUCUCAUGUUCUACCUCACGACAACGUCGGAGUCUCCCAUGGUGCUGCCCUCGCCAGAAGCCAAGAGCGAGUUCUCCGCGGAGUUCCUCAGCUUCAUGGAACUGUGCUUCACACGCGACGUGGCGAAUCGUCCAGAAGCUGACGAUUUGCUGAAGCAUCCGUGGAUCACGGGGUCGCGGCUCGCGCCGGUGCCAAACCUGCCCAGCGCUGUCUUGUCUCUCCACCAGGAAAGUUCCGCCGUGUUUCGCGCCUUUGGCUCACCCGGGAAGUCGUCCACGUUCUCCAGCCCGCGAGACUCGGCGGCGGACCGCGACGACAUGAGCUUCAACGGCAGCGACGGCUUGCAGAAGUCCGUCUCCACUACCCCAACUCUCAGCCCCGCGGAGGAGGAGAUGGCGUGCCAGCAGGAGUUGGAGACCGUGGCGGCGGCGACGGCGCUGGAGCUCUGCUCCCUGCUCGUGUGCUCACUGGAGAUCCCCCCUCGUACCGCGCAGGAGACUGUGACAGGGGAAGUAGGCUCGGGGACCGGCGACACGAGUCCCUCGCUCACGCGCACCUUCUCGAUCCACUCACCCGCUCUCAGUCAUCGUGGCGGCGGUGUCAGCGCAAGCGUGGCCGAAUUUCUAUCCCCUGUGUAUACGCCAGAGCAUUCCAUAGUGCACGAAAACUUCUACUACAGCCAGGUGCCACUUGGGGCGUCCGCAGGCAACUUUGUCUUACCGCCCGGACUGGACUUGGAUGGGGCACCGCCGCAGCAGCAGUACUUGCGCAUCAACGAGGAAGGCAACCUUGAUAUGGUUUACCUCCCCGGUGACGAGAUGGAGGACUCGGUUCACGGCAGGUCCACCUUCGGUGACAGCGUCUACGGCUCCUUCCACGCUGGGCGUAUUGUGUCCCCAGCGCGCAACAGCUCGUUCAGCAGAGGUACCCUCAGCCCGCGCGUUGCGGCGGGGCCGAACACCGUGGGCGUGGCCGACGGCCCUUUCUCCCCGCUUCUCGGCAUCAGUGGCGUCUUCUCUCGCAGAGAGUCGCCAUCGCGCGGGGGCCCGUCAGUUCCGUCGUCCCCGCAGGGCAUUCCCGCGCCGCCGCUGCUGUACCGGCCCGGCCCGUCGACAACGUUUGUAAGUCAGCCAUCCAGCCACACCGGCUCUAUGCAUACGUCGCACGUCUCGCCGACGUCCACAUCCAAGGCCGGCAGCAACGUCGACGCCGCGACGCCUCACACCCCGCGGUCUAACUCGCCCACUUCUACGCAGCGCAGCGAGAGCUUCCGCGGAUUGCCGGAGAAACUGAAGACUCACGCUGAUGGAAAACUUCACAUGUCCUUUUCUGUCAACACCGCCCCAGGAUGCGCCGUGAACGUGGAGCUGAACGUCGAUGUGGCUGAUGUGCAGUGCAAGGUGGUGGACAACCAGCCGAACUUUGUGGUGGCCUUCACGGAUGACGUGCGCAGCCAAAUCGCAAACAAGAUUAAGGAGGUUGCCGAGCACUCGUCGUCGGGCAAGCCUGCCCAGACUGCAGGCACUCAUGCCUCAUCCCUGAGCCCGUUGUGCGGGAUGGAAGCGCGGCGAUCGGUCUCUGCGGGCGGCGGCCACUUUUACAACUCGCCGUUGUUCGCUGCCGCCUCGAAGGCCACGCCGCGUCCGCUUUCACGGGUCUCCACCGGCAGCGCGCAGCGACUGGUGGCCGUCCCGCGCGAGGCGCUUGCCGGCUAUUCGUCCUACUCUGGGGAGGAGGGCUCCGACGUGGACUCCCACACGUCUUCGCCCGUGACGGCGGGAUGGAAUGAACGCGUGGGCAAGUAACAGCCGCCCCACGCGGUUUAUUCCACCGAGCAUAUGGGCUCCCCGGGGAAGGUCACGGUCCUUGGUAUGACGAUCAACCUGAGCCUACAUCUUUUGCGCGUCUUUUUGGUUCGUGUGUGCUUGAUAUUGGAUACAGGGAUACACGAUUCGGAGUGCCCUCGUUGGACCAUGAACAUUCGGUGGCGCCUAUAGUCGAGUUGUGAGGGCUCCAGCGACGAUUAAGUGCGCACCUGCUUCAUUUUUUCUGUUCUCAGCGGCUGUGUGCGCAUGGUAUGAAGGUUGGCGUGGCGACAUGGCUGCGCGUUGCUUUUUCCCCUCUCGCACCUGAGUAGUCAGACAUCAAACAUACAAGCAGCCGCACACGCACACAGAGACACGCGUAUAUGCAUAUGAUCUCCUCCUCUUUCCCUGCGUGCUAUUGUGUUUCACGGUUUCCUGGUUGCGCUUGAUUGUCGAGUAUGGACUCUAAUAGUCCCUAUUCAUGCCCCCCCCCCCCAUCACCACCUCGAUCCCCCAAGCGAAGAGAAUUGCCGUGAUUCGCUUCUUGUGCAUUGUCAGGCUUUGGAUGCGAUUGUGUUGCUGUGCGCCAGAACUGCUGCGUUUUCCUCCCUUUCACACUGUUAUGCGUGACGGACGCUACAAACACCCACCCCUGGAUAG
Molecule: unclassified non-coding RNA, 5183 nt
Filed under: Leishmania donovani
Lineage: Eukaryota; Euglenozoa; Kinetoplastea; Trypanosomatida; Trypanosomatidae
Description: gene:LdHU3.32.0200(CDS-product:MEKK-related_kinas e_1_putative)
Source: RNAcentral